CUCCCCGACACAAACAGGCUCCCAGUGGCCGGAAAAACAAAUCUCUCACAGCUUGAAUUUUCCUCCGGCAGAAUGCCCUGGAGUUCUGAGCUUGGGUGAUGAUUCUAUUUCUGUGCCUUAACUCUCUUGAGCCAGAACAAAGACAAAUCCCGGAUUUCUCCAUCAGUCUGUGACCCUAGAGAAGACCCAGAGCUGGCUCCAGGGAAGGGCUGCGUUUGGCCUGGGAGAGGAACGAAGUUUGAGGGGACACUUGCUUUUUCCCCAAGCUUCACCUGUAGUGGAAGCCUGUUUAAAAAGUGACAGCAAAAUCCAGACUGUGUGUGGACAGCGAGUCUGCAAAUGGAGGCUUAAAAGAUGCGGAAGCCCCAAGUUAGUUCUGGGGGUCUAGAUCCUGGCUCUCCGGCAGCCCCUUAAGUUUUCCAUGAUGCUAAUUGCCCUUCUGAGUAUCGCUGGCCCUUUUUUUUUUGCCUGAUUUUACAUCUCCUGUGCCUAAAUCCAUACUUAUAAAAAUUGUCAUGUAAACAUCAUUUUAGAUAAUGAUGGUUUUAGCUACAUGAAAACUAAGGAGGCUUUCCAGGAUUUAUUUCUAGACUGGAGAAGAACUGUGUCUGCCUUCCCCUCUGGAUCCCACUGAACCUCCGGAAUUUCCAUGGUUAACAAGAUAAACUGAUCCCUGCUAACCCUGGAGCUGGCUGGAGCAUCAGUUGCUGCCAUGGCAACUUGACGAAAUAAAUACAGGGCUUUUUAACGUCUUCAGGCAGAAUCUGCCCAGAGACCAGGUUCCUAUUUUUCCUUUUUUGUUUACAAUUCACAUUCCACUCGGUCAAUGUAUUCUCCUUGACACAUUUUUGACACUG
This 857-nucleotide long non-coding RNA is filed under the name Homo sapiens (human). Its description in RNAcentral is "HSALNT0378920". The record is from RNAcentral. Lineage: Eukaryota; Metazoa; Chordata; Mammalia; Primates; Hominidae.